CCUAAAGAAUUUGGCGGUGUUUUAGUCUAUUCAGAGGAAUUUGUCCCGUGAUCGAUAGUCCUCGAUUUAAUCGUUCUUAAUUUUGUAAUCAGUAUGUAUACCGCCGUUAUCAGUUUAUAUUAUUAGAUUAUUAAUUUACUUUAUUCUAAUUAGGAUUUAUUUCAGGUCAAGGUGCAGUUUAUAAUUAAGUGGAGAUGGAUUACAUUAUUAUUUGAAUAUACGUAUUGUUGAUUUAAAUUAUUUUCAUGAAGGUGGAUUUGUUUGUAAUUUUAUUUAUAUUGGUAUUUUGAUUUUAGCUCUAAGAUGAGUACACAUCGCCCGUCGCUCUA
This 329-nucleotide ribosomal RNA is filed under the name Megacrania phelaus. RNAcentral describes it as "partial small subunit ribosomal RNA". The record is from RNAcentral. Lineage: Eukaryota; Metazoa; Arthropoda; Insecta; Phasmatodea; Phasmatidae.